GUCUUAAAGUCUUCAUCUUUAAAAAAACUAAUGCGAAAGAAAUUUUUAUUAAAAUCUGAAAACCCAGUUGUCCAAAUUCUGAUUGAAGUGGAAAGCAGAUACAAAAUUCAGAAUUCCAGCACUACAAAAUGUACAAGCACACGAUGCCAGAGUUCUGAGAGUGAGAUUUAUAGAUAUGUCCAAAGAUUAUCUCAUACAUGAAAGAAGAAUAAAGCUCUUCAUCCUCUCAACUAUGCUCAAUUUAUAGAUUUGAUCUAUACCCUACACAUUUAUUGAGUUCAAAAGAAAGAACAAAAUUAUCCCACCAAAUUCCAAUUCCACACCAAAACGCCAUUCUCCUUGAAUUAUACAAAACCAGUAUUCUGCACAAUUGUUCAAGGCUGCUUCCCUGGAUACCCUUCUAAGCCUCCUCAGAUGCGGUCUCUUUUCUGUCAUCUCUACUUCCCUAGGACCCAUUACCUGAAGAAGCUCUAAUGUCUAAUGCGGUUGCAGCUGGGUCCAGCUCUGAGAAACCUUUCAGUUAUGGAACUUGCAAACAAGAAAAUAUAGAAUGAUAGCUUUUCUUGACCAUCAUUACUUCCCUCCUGCAUUUCUAGUAAAUUUGGGAAAGCAGUGAAGUCUUAAAAAUAUAUUUAUGCAAUCUUUGCCACGUUAAUCAUAAUUAUUGAUUCUAGUAAAAUUUGGACUGUACAAGCAAAUUAAUGAAUUCUAUGACCGUAUGCCAAAGUGAGUCGAAGAAAAUUUCCAGAAAACAUCACACAGAACUGAACUAAACAGAUCGAGGGCAUUUUCUUACAUACAUUUAAUGUAGUUAAAUGACUAUUUCAUUUCGCUGCUAUACUAGUAGGUAAUAUCUAACAAGUUACAAUAAUAAAUUUUAAUGAUGAUCAGGGGUGUGUCAAUAGGACUGUCACGAGUUCUCUCAGAUAGGUAACUUGAGCUAUACUAUUUUCUUAAAUGUUACCUUAUCUUAGAUAUGGACUGACACAGAUGGAAUUACAAGAGCCUAUUAUUAGAUAAAAACAUAAAUUGACACAAUAAAGCAACUUUUGAAUACAGUGUAACAUGCAGAACAACCAAGAACACUUUUCCAUUUAAUAUAUAACGCCCUUUGAAAUUAAUAUAUUCACAAUGUGGCAUCUUACAGUUUUGACUUCCGUGGAUAUCAUGAACAUGGUUGGUUAGAAGUUCUCAUUCCCCAUACCAGUGAGCACAUAGUUUAAAUUAAAAAUAAUAAGUCAUUUCAAAGCAAGAAACAGAUUAUGGGAUAAAUAAUAGGGCAAGUAGAACUUACUCUUAAGAGACAGCGCACCUAAAAUGGUUCGUGCAACUUGGCAAAUGAAGAAGAGUUCAUUUUGGAUUCCACUGCAAAAGUUUAAUGGCCAGCCGUGAACACAGCUCAUCUAGAACCAGUUACAUCUAACUGCCAAAAAUAAGGUGAAAUCCACAAGUAGAGUCAAGGAAUGGAAAUCAAGAUUAUUAUGUUAGCGCCAGAUCAUUCAAUUCUCCUACCCAACUACAAGAAUAAAGCCUUCAACACUCUCGAUGUAAUUAAUAUUCCAAAAGUUGAACCAGCAACACAGAGAAAAGAUCAUUCAAUUCUCCUACCCAACUACAAGAAUAAAGCCUUCAACACUCUCGAUGUAAUUAAUAUUCAAAAGUUUAACCAGCAACACAGAGAAAAGAUGCGGACAAUCAGAAAGAGUUGAGAGUAAAGGCAACCUAAUAAUAGGCAGAAAAAACACAAAUGCAGAGAUAAUUAAAAAACAUUGAGAUCACAUCUGUUGACUCAAACCCUCCUCCUUUUCCGGGCUUGGGACCGGCUGUGUCGAGCAAACAUGCAACACAGGCAGAGUUAAAAGAGUCAACUACAUAAAACCAACACACACACACAAUGAAACAACUUUAAAACACAGUAUAGUAUGCAGCAAAUCCAAGAACAUCUUGCCAUUUUUUUUAAUAUUGUCUUGGUUCCCUUAAAAAUAUGACUUACCAACAACCAGAAUUGUGCAUAGAUGUUACGAAAUAUUGAAAGACACAAAAUAGUGAAUUAGAUGAGAAAUACUGGUAAAAUGAACUUUCUAGUUCCAAGUAUCAUUUAUAUUUCUCCACCAAUUCCUCAUUUUAUGGGCCAGUAGUGGGAUUAUACAGAAGUUUUGUCUACGAGCAAAAUAUGCAAGCGUGAAAUGGACUUAUUUAUGAUCAUGUAAGCAUCUACAUACUUGACACUGUCAAUCUAACUUGAUCCAAAGAAUAAAAAACCAAUUUGUAACAACAAAGGGUAAUCAAAGAGACUGAAUAGGGUAUGAGGCAAAAUUUUAGAGUAAUAGUUAAAUGGAAAAAAUAUUGCGUACUGAAUAUGCCUCCUAGUAAACUUGUAUUUAUAUAUCCUUUGGUCCGUCCGCCAAACAAUAAUUGACUGUGCAGGGAAAAGUGUGGAUUACAGUGGGGGAGAGCUCCUUCGAACUUGCUAGUCAAAACCAUCCAUAUCGAGCAUAUCGUCAUAGGUGUUGAUUGUUAUUAGCAAGCUAAUAGUGCAUGUUCUGUAUAUUUCUGACACUUAAUAUUUCCAGAGCUGAUUGCAACUUUCCUCUUCGAUACGGAAAGCUUAAGACGCGCACUCAGGUACAACACAAGAAAAACGAGACACAGACAAAUAUUCCAUCAAGGCUACAUACAAGGUAGAAGAAAAUUUUGAAUUCAACAGGCACCACUGAAUAAUAAAUACCAAAUGCCCAAAUAAGAUUCAAGCCUCCUACACUUAGUGUGCAGCAUCUGUGAAAAAAUACAGCUUAGAGCUGGACUCCAGCUGCAAGGAUACCCCUCAAGAGUGGCUUCCAACAGUUCAUACCUAACCUAAAUUCAACUCCAUAAUAUAUCAGAUGACAAGGUAACAGAAAGUUGAUUAGUUAUCAGUUGUCUGAAAAGGAGUCCCAACAUUACCUUAAAUAUGAGCUCCUUGGUUAUACUUGGAAUUGUGGAAUAGCAGAGAAACACCACAUGUAUUUCAUAUGAAACACAUGUAAUCAAGUGGACAGCCCCAAAAUUAUCAUAGCUUCUCCAUAUUAUUAUGUUUGAACUGGAGAAAGAAGAGAAAUGUGGCUCCAAAAGCAAACACUACAGAGUAGAGGACCUGAGCAAAAGGUAUGUGAACACUGGAGCACUUCAAAUGAUUCUUCAUUUCAUCUUUGUCUAAGAUCAUGUCACUGACCUCAGAAGGCAAAAGGUAUGUGGACAAAUGAGGAGCACUUCAAAUUUGUAACAUCAGAUACCUACUAGAUCUUGAUCAUUCAACCAAACUAACUGCAAAAGCACCCGAGACUUGUUCAUUUCUUCAAGAUUAUCUAAACUCCAUGGUGUUUUAUUUUACCACAGAACUUCCAAGAAAAUGGGGAGAUUCAGAAUCUGAUAAAUCCUCCCCUAAUUCUAUCAUCUUGAAAUUGAAAGUACGGCACAACCCUUUCUUUUCUUUUUUUUUUUUGGAGCCUUCAUUUUUACUUCAUUCAUCCAACCUUUAGAUCAUUUGACAUCCAACCAUCAUUCUGAUAUGCUUAGUUACAUAAAUGAAGGUAGAGACAAAAGAACUUCAACUUACUAGCAAAAGGUGGCACAGUUCUAGCAAACACUGAAGGGAAAGAUCAAAUAAAACAUCAGAGCAUGACAGCAGUGAAGUGACAUAAUUCAAGUGUUUCUAGCUUAGCUUAACUAAUUGCACUGAAUUUUUUAGUAACGCAAAGAAGUGCAUAACCUCAAUAAUCCACUCUGAUAUCAUUACACUUGGAUUUUAUAUCUGCAUUCUUUAUUAGAACAAAUCCCCAUAAGUUCAUGACAAACUAAUCAACGACAAAAAAAUCAAUAAAUAAUUUUCUAAUGACAACAAUUUAUUUCCCCUGGAAAAUCAAGGAACAAAAAGAUUUAAUAAAAAAUAUCAACAAACUUCUUUCAAGAUCCCCAAAAAAAUAAA
RNAcentral lists this long non-coding RNA (3964 nucleotides) under Olea europaea subsp. europaea. Lineage: Eukaryota; Viridiplantae; Streptophyta; Magnoliopsida; Lamiales; Oleaceae. The record is from RNAcentral.